UUGGAUAAUGGAAAUGUUUCCAGGGCAGCCUACCUUCUCUUGGGACUUUUGGAUCAACUGCAUUCCACAAGAUCCCUUCUGAGGGCCUAGAAUAGUUCCUUUCAGAAAAAGCCUCCAUGACACUGAAAGGGGUCAUAGGUCUGGGGUCCAGAGACAACCUGCUCCUGAAGCAGUUUCAGUUUCAAAGAAAGUAGAUCCUAGUACAUGGAAUUUCCUUAAGACCAUCUGAGGCCUCAGUUUUGAGCACCUGGCUACUGACAGUGUCAAUCUUCAUACAGUUCAUUGUCCUAUUUGAUCUUAACAAUUUAGUGAGGUUCAUCAGAAUUCAAGGGGUUACAAAAGUAGCAAAAGACCAUGCUUUCCUUAAGGUCCUUCUAGUAAAUAUUCACUUAGCGGGAGCUCUGUGCCAGGCACUGCACAAGGUACAGGGGAUGUAAGAAUGAAAGAGUGACUAAAACAUCCAGUUUUGGAAUUCCCAUGCCCGUGAGUGGUUCUGGGUGGUCUGAAGGGGCUACAAAAACCGGAGAGCUGCAAACACUUCAGCCUUGCAGACAGUGGCUUGGGAUUAAAUACUCACCCUUUUCCUUGAGCCAAGGUUUGUCCAAUAGCCACAGAGCCCUUCAGCCAAACCUCACCCUGGCAGAGUUUCAACCAGCAGACAAAGCUGCCAAAGGCAGGUUGGGCACUAGCUUAGGGCUAUUCCGAGCAGGGAACAGGCAUGUGCCUUCUGCCCAGGGAGUCUUAUGACUCCCUUCAGGGAAUCUAAGGCAAGUGAAGGAGAUGGUUCAGCUCUGAGAUGAAGAGGCAGCUGCUCAGCUGGAGUCCUUCCCAACUAAAAAAUCUGUGAUUGGAGACAUGUCUGAAGACACAGGAGACCCUCCUAACACCAGUCUGAUACAAGUUCAGAAUUGACUGAAGGUCACCAUCAAACCCUGAGGACCUUCUCUGUGAGCCAUUCAACCUUCCUUCUGGUUUCUUUUUCAUAAGGUGUCAAAGCCUGUCAGGAUAAAGUCUCUUGAUGCCAAGAACACAUCAUUUAUCACCAGUGGAACUGUGUUUAACCUGUUUGAUAUCUGUACUUAUUAUAUGUAUAUAAUCCUGUAAAAUCUG
Molecule: long non-coding RNA, 1110 nt
Organism: Physeter macrocephalus (sperm whale)
Lineage: Eukaryota; Metazoa; Chordata; Mammalia; Artiodactyla; Physeteridae
Exons: 2
Source: RefSeq, a predicted model, not a curated record